AUUGAACGCUGGCGGCAUGCCUUACACAUGCAAGUCGAACGGCAGCACGGGUGCUUGCACCUGAUGGCGAGUGGCGCACGGGUGAGUAAGACAUCGGAACGGGUACUGUAGCGGGAGAUAGCCCGGCGAAAGCCGGAUGAAUAGCGCAUACGAGCUACGGACGAAAGCGGGGGACCUUCGGGCCUCGCGCUAUAGGGUUGGCCGAUGGCUGUUUAGCUAGUUGGUGGGGUAAAGGCCUACCAAGGCGACGAUCAGUAGCUGGUCUGAGAGGACGACCAGCCCCACUGGGACUGGGACACGGCCCAGACUCCUACGGGAGGCCGCAGUGGGGAAUUUUGGACAAUGGGCGAAAGCCUGAUCCAGCAAUGCCGCGUGUGUGAAGAAGGCCUUCGGGUUGUAAAGCACUUUUGUUCGGGAAGAAAUCCUUCGCCUUAAUACGGUCAGGCGAUGACGGUACCUGAAGAAUAAGCACCGGCUAACUACGUG
Molecule: ribosomal RNA, 486 nt
Filed under: uncultured bacterium
Lineage: Bacteria
Description: partial 16S ribosomal RNA
Rfam family: Bacterial small subunit ribosomal RNA
Source: RNAcentral